CCUACGGGAGGCAGCAGUGGGGAAUAUUGGACAAUGGGCGAAAGCCUGAAGCAGCCAAGUCGCGUGAGGGAGUACUGCCCUCUGGGUUGUAAACCUCUUUUGUCGGGGAGCAAAAGCCGGACGUGUCCGGCUGUGAGAGUACCCGAAGAAUAAGCAUCAGCUAACUCCGUGCCAGCAGCCGCGGUAAUACGGAGGAUGCGAGCGUUAUCCGGAUUUAUUGGUUUUAAAGGGUGCGCAGGCGGAUUUUUAAGUCAGCGGUCAAAUCGUGGGGCUCAACCCCAUCCAGCCGUUGAAGCUGGGGAUCUAGAGUGUGCGAGAGGUAUGCGGAAUGCGUGGUGUAGCGGUGAAAUGCAUAGAUAUCACGCAGAACCCCGAUUGCGAAGGCAGCAUACUGGUGCACAACUGACGCUCAGGCACGAAAGCGUGGGGAUCGAACAGGAUUAGAUACCCUUGUAGUC
RNAcentral lists this ribosomal RNA (458 nucleotides) under uncultured bacterium. RNAcentral describes it as "partial 16S ribosomal RNA". It matches the Rfam family "Bacterial small subunit ribosomal RNA", at positions 338 to 795 of the family's 1533-position model. The record is from RNAcentral.